GGCAACCCCCGGGCCCCUGGAGAGCCCCGCGGCGGCCCAAGACCCGCUCCCGAGACACGUGGGCCCCUCCGGACUUGGUUGGUCCCUGGAGCCAGCUGCGCGCGUCCUCUCCGGCCUCCUUGUCGGCGCUGGAGUGGGUCCACGUCUGCCUUGCGGAGCGCGGUGGUUCCACGCUCCUGAGCGCCCACGCUGCGCAGACCUGGCCGCUCUGCGAGGCGACGGCAGCGCACUGAAGACCGUGGUGUUUCCCAAGCCCUCCCUGCUCUCGGGCCUCCAGGGCGCAGCAGGGGAGGGUUUUGUCCCCGUGGCCAAAGCUCUGCAGGUCGAACCUUAUCUGCUAUGGGAAGGCCCCGCAUUUUCAGAUUCACGCAGGGCCCUCUGCAGACUGUUGGCAGAAAAAAGGUAGCCACCAAACACAUGCAUAAGCUGGACUUUUCCCAGAAUGCUGCAGCAGAACUACCCUCCAGAUAGACACUAGCCUGCGGGCCACAGUGCUACGUGAGUCUUGCAAAGAGGAGAUCUUUAUGGCGAGGCUGAGAGCACUGCCUGCAUGCUUUACCAGAGCCCAGCCUCCAGCCUCCACGGAAAAUGUGUUUUGGAAUCAACACUCUUUGCAAAGGCUCCACACUGCUUUCUGGUAGCAUUGGCCUGGGCGCCCAGGCACUCCUUUAGAACCCACCUGUUCCCCCCACCCACCCUAGUGGGAGGAGGAGAGGGUUACACUGACAGAUACCGGCAGCUCUGCAACCCGGGAACAACGCAGACAACAUACAACUCGACAGAGUCACAGAAGGUGGCGUCCAUCGCGCCUGGAUGGUGACUACUGCCCUGCGGGCUGCUGGGUGGGUGAAACACACAGGGAAGAAGCACAAAUACACACACAGAUGUGGCUCAGGGACA
RNAcentral lists this long non-coding RNA (900 nucleotides) under Homo sapiens (human). RNAcentral describes it as "CCAT5". The record is from RNAcentral. Lineage: Eukaryota; Metazoa; Chordata; Mammalia; Primates; Hominidae.